RNAcentral lists this ribosomal RNA (410 nucleotides) under uncultured microorganism. RNAcentral's name for it is "bacterial SSU rRNA". It matches the Rfam family "Bacterial small subunit ribosomal RNA", at positions 509 to 917 of the family's 1533-position model. The record is from RNAcentral.
CAGCCGCCGCGGUAAUACGUAGGGUGCGAGCGUUAAUCGGAUUUACUGGGCGUAAAGCGUGCGCAGGCGGCCCGUUAAGACAGGUGUGAAAUCCCUGGGCUCAACCUAGGAAUUGCGCUUGUGACUGGCGGGCUCGAGUACGGUAGAGGGGGGUGGAAUUCCUGGUGUAGCAGUGAAAUGCGUAGAGCUCAGGAGGAACACCGAUGGCGAAGGCAGCCCCCUGGGCCUGUACUGACGCUCAUGCACGAAAGCGUGGGGAGCAAACAGGAUUAGAUACCCUGGUAGUCCACGCCCUAAACGAUGGGUACUAGCCGUUUGGUGCGCGAGAGCGCUGAGUGGCGAAGCUAACGCGUGAAGUACCCCGCCUGGGGAGUACGGCCGCAAGGUUGAAACUUAAAGGAAUUGGCGGG